RNAcentral lists this ribosomal RNA (497 nucleotides) under uncultured bacterium. RNAcentral describes it as "partial 16S ribosomal RNA". It matches the Rfam family "Bacterial small subunit ribosomal RNA", at positions 28 to 507 of the family's 1533-position model. The record is from RNAcentral.
GAUGAACGCUGGCGGCGUGCCUAAUACAUGCAAGUCGAGCGAACAGAUGAGGAGCUUGCUCCUCUGACGUUAGCGGCGGACGGGUGAGUAACACGUGGAUAACCUACCUAUAAGACUGGGAUAACUUCGGGAAACCGGAGCUAAUACCGGAUAAUAUAUUGAACCGCAUGGUUCAAUAGUGAAAGACGGUUUUGCUGUCACUUAUAGAUGGAUCCGCGCCGCAUUAGCUAGUUGGUAAGGUAACGGCUUACCAAGGCAACGAUGCGUAGCCGACCUGAGAGGGUGAUCGGCCACCACGGAACUGAGACACGGUCCAGACUCCUACGGGAGGCAGCAGUAGGGAAUCUUCCGCAAUGGGCGAAAGCCUGACGGAGCAACGCCGCGUGAGUGAUGAAGGUCUUCGGAUCGUAAAACUCUGUUAUUAGGGAAGAACAAAUGUGUAAGUAACUAUGCACGUCUUGACGGGACCUAAUCAGAAAGCCACGGCUAACUACGUG